RNAcentral lists this ribosomal RNA (468 nucleotides) under uncultured bacterium. RNAcentral's name for it is "partial 16S ribosomal RNA". It matches the Rfam family "Bacterial small subunit ribosomal RNA", at positions 28 to 507 of the family's 1533-position model. The record is from RNAcentral.
GACGAACGCUGGCGGCGUGCUUAACACAUGCAAGUCGAACGGAAAGGCCCUGCUUUUGUGGGGUGCUCGAGUGGCGAACGGGUGAGUAACACGUGAGUAACCUGCCCUUGACUUUGGGAUAACUUCAGGAAACUGGGGCUAAUACCGGAUAGGAGCUCCUGCUGCAUGGUGGGGGUUGGAAAGUUUCGGCGGUUGGGGAUGGACUCGCGGCUUAUCAGCUUGUUGGUGGGGUAGUGGCUUACCAAGGCUUUGACGGGUAGCCGGCCUGAGAGGGUGACCGGCCACGUUGGGACUGAGAUACGGCCCAGACUCCUACGGGAGGCAGCAGUGGGGAAUAUUGCACAAUGGGCGGAAGCCUGAUGCAGCAACGCCGCGUGCGGGAUGACGGCCUUCGGGUUGUAAACCGCUUUCGCCUGUGAUGAAGCGUGAGUGACGGUAAUGGGUAAAGAAGCACCGGCUAACUACGUG